This 490-nucleotide ribosomal RNA is filed under the name uncultured bacterium. RNAcentral's name for it is "partial 16S ribosomal RNA". It matches the Rfam family "Bacterial small subunit ribosomal RNA", at positions 30 to 507 of the family's 1533-position model. The record is from RNAcentral.
AUUGAACGCUGGCGGCAGGCCUAACACAUGCAAGUCGAACGGUAACAGGAAGCAGCUUGCUGCUUUGCUGACGAGUGGCGGACGGGUGAGUAAUGUCUGGGAAACUGCCUGAUGGAGGGGGAUAACUACUGGAAACGGUAGCUAAUACCGCAUAACGUCGCAAGACCAAAGAGGGGGACCUUCGGGCCUCUUGCCAUCGGAUGUGCCCAGAUGGGAUUAGCUAGUAGGUGGGGUAACGGCUCACCUAGGCGACGAUCCCUAGCUGGUCUGAGAGGAUGACCAGCCACAUUGGAACUGAGACACGGUCCAGACUCCUACGGGAGGCAGCAGUGGGGAAUAUUGCACAAUGGGCGCAAGCCUGAUGCAGCCAUGCCGCGUGUAUGAAGAAGGCCUUCGGGUUGUAAAGUACUUUCAGCGGGGAGGAAGGGAGUAAAGUUAAUACCUUUGCUCAUUGACGUUACCCGCAGAAGAAGCACCGGCUAACUCCGUG